Molecule: non-coding RNA, 646 nt
Organism: Malus domestica (apple)
Lineage: Eukaryota; Viridiplantae; Streptophyta; Magnoliopsida; Rosales; Rosaceae
Source: RefSeq, a predicted model, not a curated record
UGUAGGCCCACUGAGCCCAACACAUGGUUGACCUUUCGACUCAUACGCGGCCCAGUUUAAGCCUUGAAAUUUUGAGCGGCCACUUUCGUCUCCAGAGAAACACCUUUUCGCUGCUCCCAAUUUCUGCAGAAGACGCAAAGCUUCUUCGUUUCAGCUUCUCCACCUUCCGUAUCAUUGGUCUUCAAGAAAUUUGAGAAAUGGGUGGACUGCCAGCGGAAUAUACUUCCUCUGCCUUGGUUUUGAAAGGGUCGCAGCCAAAUCAAGGGUCAGCAGUCACUACUCCUGCCCUGGACACAAAGCCGAAGAAGAAGAUAUGCUGUGCUUGCCCGGAUACUAAGAAGCUGCGAGAUGAAUGCAUUGUGGAGCAUGGUCAAGACGCUUGCACAAAAUGGAUCGAUGCUCAUCUCAAGUGCCUACGUGCAGAAGGCUUCAAUGUUUGAAGUUGCCGGAGAUGGUUAAGAUAAUAAGUUGAAGGCUACAUGAACAGUUUUGAAAGGAAACCAUUUAUUUUAGGUUUAGACAUACAACAUAAUAAUAUUUGAACGUUGAAGAAUAAUACAAGGAGAGCUUCUUUAUUUGACUUGUAUUUUACGUAAUUUUGUUGAGAUUUACAGUUACGCCCAUCAAAAUUUAUAAAGUUACAAUA